UACGGAGGAUCGCGAGCGUUAUCCGGGAUUUAUUGGGUUUAAAGGGUGCGUAGGCGGCUUUUUAAGUCAGCGGUGAAAUUUUGCAGCUUAACUGUAACAGUGCCGUUGAUACUGGGGAGCUAGGAUUUGGUUGCUGUGGGUGGAAUGCGUGGUGUAGCGGUGAAAUGCUUAGAGAUCACACAGAAUAUCGAUUGCGAAGGCAGCUUACUGGGAUGCAACUGACGCUGAGGCACGAAAGCGUGGGUAUCAAACAGGAUUA
Molecule: ribosomal RNA, 259 nt
Filed under: uncultured prokaryote
Description: partial 16S ribosomal RNA
Rfam family: Bacterial small subunit ribosomal RNA
Source: RNAcentral